RNAcentral lists this long non-coding RNA (1378 nucleotides) under Bos taurus (domestic cattle). RNAcentral's name for it is "long non-coding RNA NONBTAT023513". Lineage: Eukaryota; Metazoa; Chordata; Mammalia; Artiodactyla; Bovidae. The record is from RNAcentral.
GGUUUUCAAACCCUUUACAUGUAUAGACCAGUACUGAUGCACGGAGGAGAAUCGAUACUGCCAUAGACCAGUGGGUGAUUUCACCCACCUCCAAAACUGCAGCUAUUCCUAGGAGUCGAAUUUAGGAGAUGUCAAUUAAGCAGAUAAUACCGACAACUUCUCACCUAUUUGUUUACAACAGAUCUCAUUUGUUUCAAGAGCAGCCAAAAUAAAUGGCUCAGCUCUGCCAUCCUCUGGUCCUUUGAAGUAUUCAAGAGUCCAUUCUUGACAAAUGCUAUAGGGAGUGACCAAGGAUAGACACAAUUGAAAGGAAAAUGUGUCUAUUAGAGAGAUACCUUGAACUUAACUCUAUUUUUAUUUUGUCUUCAAAAACAAAAGGUAAUUUGAUCCAAAUUACUUCUUUUUCUAAGCGGUCAUUAAAUUAAAAAAAAAGGGGGACUCCUCUAGGAAGUUCACCAGUAUCUUUCAUAGGCUAUUUUUUCAAACUAGGGAGAAAAUAAAUAUGACAGGAGACAGUUCUUUUCAUUAGAAGUAAGCACUUUUAUGAGCAUCAUUAAAAAGAGAUGAGAUGGUGUUUUGUGAGGCUUCAUAUUAGAUUGCAGAAGAGAUCGGUGGCCCAGCUAAGCCAGUACCAUCACUGGUAAGAGCCAUGAAAAUUAGAUUUCUUAGUUAACUGCAACACUGAAAUUGAAGGGAGCUGAGUUAUCAGCAUGUCUGCAGUAACUGAAGUUGGAGAGCCGCGGGUACAAUCUGUAUCAGCUUUGGGACUGGGCUGGAGAUCUGAGAUGUCCAGAUAUCCCCCCCAUCUGGCUGGAAGCCCAGCCCAGGGACAAUCAACACCACUGUGAAAGCUACCAGACUUAUUCAAUGAGCACCUUCUACACAUUUAAAAGGCUGCCCUCCAAGCCAGCUCUGAAGAGCCAGGCAAGUAUCAGGUUUCCUCUGUGAGCUAUGAUUCUCAGAUUGACUGCAAGGCUUGCACUUUGAGGGGCUGGUAAGGUCUGUUGAGAAAGGAUGAGUGGAUCACUACCCCCUGAUUAAUAAAACCAACCAGACCAAAAAUUCUAGAAGCAGGAUAUUCUUAAAAUAUAACUUUUCUUCUUCCACUAAGACCCUUCUCUCAGAAACCAAUUCCUGAAAUAUGAAUGAAGAACCCUCCUAUUUCCCUACAGCUCUAGGAACCAGAAGCUUAUCCUGACCAGAGGAAGGAGUAAAAGAAUACACUUUGUUUUGAUUGAGCUGGGCUGCUCUUAAUUACUUGUAACACUGUAAGGAAAAGCAUAUGUUGCAAAGGCUUCAGUCUCAGAGUAUGAUGAAAUCCCUAUAGACAGGAGGAACUUCUGUAGACAGGUUGAAAUCCCUAUAAUAAUGAGGAAUU